Molecule: RNA transcript, 1082 nt
Organism: Capsella rubella
Lineage: Eukaryota; Viridiplantae; Streptophyta; Magnoliopsida; Brassicales; Brassicaceae
Gene name: cardiolipin synthase (CMP-forming), mitochondrial-like
Exons: 5
Source: RefSeq, a predicted model, not a curated record
CUCUCUCUCUCUCUCUCUCUCUCUCGACUUCGUGUGCGAAACGGCGAUGGACUUCGUGUGCGAAACGGCGAUGUUUGUGUUCGUUGAAGUGUGGUCGUUGUCGUCUGCCGUAUAGAUUUAGUGUCUAUUUGUAUGGUAUUUUGAUUCGAGUCGGGUUUAUAUUGCACACUCUGAUUUUUAAACUUGGUUUCUUGUGUGGUUGUUUGAUUCAAGUUGGGGUUUUGUAUUUGAUUAGAUUUAGUGUGUCUUUGUAUGGUAGUCUAAUUAAAGUUGGUUUUGUAUUGUUCACUCUUGAGUAACUUCGUUUCUUGUCUGGUUGUUUGAUUCAAGUUGGGGUUUUGUAUUGUGCAAUCUUGGUUUGCAGAAAAGGAGAAUCUUUGUUCGUAUGGGUUACCGAAUGAAGAAUGAGAAGUGAAUUUACCAGCUGAAGAAGUGCCUCCUGAGCUUCCACAGCCAGCUCUUGGUAUUAACUUUGCAAGAGAUGGGCUCUCUGAAAAAGAAUGGCUUUUUCUUAUUGCCAUUCACAGUGACGCUUGGUUACUUUCUGUUUCCUUUUACUUCGGCUCGAGGUUUUCUUUCCACAAGGAAGAUAGGAAGCGCUUGUUCAACAUGAUCAAUGAUGUUCCUACUAUAUUUGAGGUAGUGACUGGAAUGGCUAAAAGCCAAUCAAAGGACAAGUCAUCUGCUGCAAACCAAAACGGCAGCAAAUCCAAUUAGAUGGUUACAUGGCUAGGAGGAUGAAGAUUAAUUCUGUUGUUGGCUCGUACCUUGAUCCUCUUGCAGACAAGGUUCUUAUUGGGUGUGUCGCAGUAGCAAUGGUGCAGAAGAUUACAUGUAUUUAUAUCAAGAGGAUUACAUUUAAUGGAGUCCUAGAUUGCAAUACUGCCUUUUAAACUUUAAUACUAAAGCCAUUUUUGGUGGAUGCAUGUGACAUUUGUGCUCUGAAGCUGGACUGGUUGGUAUUGUGGUGUUACGGGAUGUUGCACUCGUCGGUGGUGCAGUUUACCUAAGGGCACUAAAUUUGGACUGGAAGGUGAGUUCUUGAUUUAAUAUAUUAUUAAUUUAAUAGAAGGACAAAUAAC